This 130-nucleotide ribosomal RNA is filed under the name Krameria grandiflora. Its description in RNAcentral is "partial 5.8S ribosomal RNA". It matches the Rfam family "5.8S ribosomal RNA", at positions 30 to 154 of the family's 154-position model. Rfam says of the family: 5.8S ribosomal RNA (5.8S rRNA) is a component of the large subunit of the eukaryotic ribosome. It is transcribed by RNA polymerase I as part of the 45S precursor that also contains 18S and 28S rRNA. Functionally, it is thought that 5.8S rRNA may be involved in ribosome translocation. RNAcentral also lists the same sequence under 1 other name. Lineage: Eukaryota; Viridiplantae; Streptophyta; Magnoliopsida; Zygophyllales; Krameriaceae. The record is from RNAcentral.
GCAUCGAUGAAGAACGCAGCGAAAUGCGAUACUUGGUGUGAAUUGCAGAAUCCCGUGAACCAUCGAGUCUUUGAACGCAAGUUGCGCCUGAAGCCGUUAGGUUGAGGGCACGUCUGCCUGGGUGUCACAC